ACUCUUAGUGAAAAGAAGAUCACUCAAAGGUAAAGCGGAUUACUGCUGCCAGUACAAGUAAUAGUAUUAAUCACAGUAAAGCCUAAAGGUAACAUGAAAACGACGAUUCUUUUGGCUGUAAUGUGCUUGCUGUUCGCACACUCUUUAGCAGCCAAUAUCUACACAAUUAAAGAAGAGGAUCCUCAACGGAAAGGCCGAGAGAUGAAAGGUUCCGUCAGACAGCCGCUACCAAAUUACAAUGAAAUCAAUAAGCGAAUGUACAAUCCGAGGCUGUACUUUCAGUAGUAUCACGUGAUUCAGUGUCUUCAAAUUCUGAAGAUGUACACAAAAACAAGACGUACAAUAUGUCAAUAUUGCUAUUUAAAAAUAAAAGNAUUAGUUAGUACA
RNAcentral lists this long non-coding RNA (387 nucleotides) under Exaiptasia diaphana. Its description in RNAcentral is "uncharacterized LOC110240513, transcript variant X2". The record is from RNAcentral. Lineage: Eukaryota; Metazoa; Cnidaria; Anthozoa; Actiniaria; Aiptasiidae.